GUCUAGAGCCAUACCACCCUGAACGCGCCCAAUCCCAUCUGAUCCCUGAAGCUGAGCAGGGUCGAGCCUGGUUAAUUUUGGAUG
Molecule: ribosomal RNA, 84 nt
Filed under: Sus scrofa (pig)
Lineage: Eukaryota; Metazoa; Chordata; Mammalia; Artiodactyla; Suidae
Source: RNAcentral